UCGAGAGAUAUGAUGUCUCCGACAAGUUCUACAGUUGUAAGAUGGAGGAAAACAGUUCUGUCAGUGAGCACAUCCUGAAGAUGUCUGGGUUGCACAACCGUAUGACCCAGCUGAACAUUAACCUCCCAGAUGAGGCGGUCAUUGACAGAAUCCUCCAGUCGCUCCCACCAAGCUACAAGAGCUUUGUGAUGAACUACAACAUGCAAGGAAUGGAAAAGACCAUUCCUGAAUUGUUCUCGAUGCUGAAGUCAGCAGAGGCUGAAAUCAAGAAAGAACAUCAAGUGUUGAUGGUCAAUAAGACCACUAAGUUCAAGAAGGGCAAGGGUAAGAAGAACUUCAAGAAGGACGGCAAAGAUGUUGCCGCGCCUGGUAAGCCAGUUACCGGGAAGAAGUCAAAGAAAGGACCCAAGCCUGAGACUGAGUGCUUUUAUUGCAAGGGGAAGGGUCACUGGAAGCGGAACUGCCCCAAAUACUUA
RNAcentral lists this ribosomal RNA (476 nucleotides) under Triticum aestivum (bread wheat). RNAcentral's name for it is "partial small subunit ribosomal RNA". The record is from RNAcentral. Lineage: Eukaryota; Viridiplantae; Streptophyta; Magnoliopsida; Poales; Poaceae.